GCUUAACACAUGCAAGUCGAACGGGGGCAGUGAUGCCCUAGUGGCGGACGGGUGAGUAACGCGUAGGGAUCUACCUGGCAAUGGGGGACAACCUGGGGAAACUCAGGCUAAUACCGCAUACGCUCGCGAGAGGAAAGCGGGGGACCUUUGGGCCUCGUGUUGGCGGAUGAACCUACGUCCGAUUAGCUAGUUGGGAGGGUAACGGCCUACCAAGGCGACGAUCGGUAGCUGGUCUGAGAGGAUGAUCAGCCACACUGGGACUGAGACACGGCCCAGACUCCUACGGGAGGCAGCAGUGGGGAAUAUUGGACAAUGGGCGCAAGCCUGAUCCAGCAAUGCCGCGUGGGUGAAGACGGCCUGCGGGUUGUAAAGCCCUUUAGGUGGGGAAGAAGAGUGGAACGCGAACACCGUUUUACUUUGACAUUACCCACGGAAUAAGCACCGGCUAACUCCGUGCCAGCAGCCGCGGUAAUACGGAGGGUGCGAGCGUUAAUCGGAAUGACUGGGCCGUAAAGCGUGCGUAGGUGGUAACGUUAGUCAGCCGUGAAAGCCCUGGGCUCA
This 561-nucleotide ribosomal RNA is filed under the name uncultured Gammaproteobacteria bacterium. RNAcentral's name for it is "bacterial SSU rRNA". It matches the Rfam family "Bacterial small subunit ribosomal RNA", at positions 46 to 611 of the family's 1533-position model. Lineage: Bacteria; Pseudomonadati; Pseudomonadota; Gammaproteobacteria. The record is from RNAcentral.